Molecule: RNA transcript, 2120 nt
Organism: Solanum lycopersicum (tomato)
Lineage: Eukaryota; Viridiplantae; Streptophyta; Magnoliopsida; Solanales; Solanaceae
Source: RefSeq, a predicted model, not a curated record
CAGUGCAUACAAACAAAAGUGAGGAGGCAAAAGCACAGUAAACGACACUGCACACAGUGUGCGUGAGUGUGUUGUGCAAGUAAACAAAAAGUUUCAAAAACCGAUUCAGUAGUAGCUCUUUUUAGCCCUCUUUUGUACUCUCUCAUCUUUUUCCUCACCGUCUGCAACAUCUUUUUUCUCUCUCUCUGAUACACUAACAAUGGCGGAAGAGUACUCUGUGGAUCCGGCGCAGUUACUGGAAGCAGCUACUGACUUUGCGUAUCAUCCUGGCGCUCUUUCCGAUGCUUCAGCUCAAGACUUUCUUAAUCGAUUUCCUCUUCCAGCCAUUAUCAAUGCUUUGCAAACAAAAGCAGAUUACCCUGGCCUAGAAAGUGCUUUGGUUGAUUGUUUAGAGAAGCUUUUCAAAACAAGAUAUGGAGCAUCACUCAUUCCACACUACAUGCCAUUUGUUAUUGUCGGUCUCGGUGCAGAGUCUCAGAAAGUCAGACGCUUAGCAUGCCAAACUGUAUCCUGCCUGUUGGAGAAUAUUGAUGAAGCACUUGUUAUACAACUAAUUCAUGAGUAUGGAGUUUAUCAACUUUUGCUUAAUUGCCUCAUAAGUGGGGAUGCGGAAGUUGCUGCUGCAUCUACAGAUGCAAUUAGGAAACUGGCUAGCCAUUCGAAAGGCAUUGAUAUCAUAUUUCCUGAAAGCGGCAAUGAAGCGACAAACCUCUUGAACUUCGCAACCAACUGUGCACCUCUGGGACGAGUUCGUGUUUUAGCUUUGAUAGUGAAGUUAUUCUCCAUUUCCACUUCUGUGGCAUCAAGAGUCUACAGCUCAAAUCUUCUUAGCUUGUUGGAGACAGAAAUCAGCAAUUCAGAUGAUACAUUAGUCACUUCGAGCAGCUUGGAACUCCUAUAUGAGUUGGCUGAUGUUGAGCACAGCACUGAGUUCUUGUCAAGGACUAAGUUUCUCCAAAUUCUUACUUCUAUUAUUAGUGAUGCUUCUGCUGAAUCGAUUUUGCGAUCAAGAGCAAUGAUGAUAACUGGAAGGCUGAUGGCUAGGGAGAAUGCCUUUGUCUUUAUUGAUGAAUCUGGUUGUAGAAAUCUUAUUUCUGCCAUUAAUGGAAGAUUCAAUUUAUUAGAAAAUCAAAAUGCAGAUGAAUGUGAAUGUGCUCUUGAAGCGCUCGGACAAAUUGGGUUGUCCAGCAAAGGUGCAGCAUUGCUUCUCUCAGGUGCACAGCCUGCAGAAAGACAUGUGAUUUAUGCAGCUUUUGAUCAGCAACAGCAUGGUAAACAGCUGGCAGCAUUGCAUGCUCUUGCAAACAUUGUUGGAGAAACUCGCGCCGAAAAGGAUGUAUUGCUGGAUGGUGAUGCAGAGCAGAAUCUUCGGCGUCUGAUCUAUGAAGCAGCAUCCAAGACUUCAAAGCUGACACCUUCAGGUCUCCUCUUAUCAGUUCUUCAACAGGAUUCAGAAAUUCGUAAGGCGGGCUACAGAGUGAUAAGUGGGUUGGUGAUGCGACCUUGGUGCCUGAUGGAGGUUAUUUCCAGACGAGAAAUAAUAGAUAUAGUAACUGAUGCAUUUAAAGAGACAGAAAAGAUAGGUAUGGAAGCUAGACACAAAUGUUGCCAGUCAAUCUACAAAGUUUUCACCUCAUCUAGUAAACUGAUAGCUGACAAUGCAUUUUCGGGUAUAGCUACAAAGUGAAUUUGCAACAACAACAUACCCAAUGUAAUCCCACAAGUGGAGUUUGUAGAGGGUGAUGUUUAUGCAGCCCUACCCCUACAUUGCAAGCUGGAGCAAGCUAUCAGCAGAGGUCCUUAUCUAGGAAGAAAGCUUUCUGAAGCACAACCUGCAGUGAUGACUGAGCAGAGAUUUUAGUCUUCUCAACAUCUUAGAAACUAUCUUACAAGUGUUAAUUUCAGCCAUGACGUAUCAAUUUUAAGAUGUUAACCCCUGGUAGUACAUAUUUUAUCAAGUUGCUUGUCACUUCCCUUGUAAAAUGUUCCCUUUUCUGUAGGCAAACAGCAACAAUGAUUGUAUACUAUGUGUGUAGGCAUUUGGUGCUAACUGCUAAAGUUGGGUUUUAGCUAUUCGAGUUCACUGGCCUUUUUCACUUCCAAAGAUCCCAUUCAAGAGA